RNAcentral lists this ribosomal RNA (468 nucleotides) under uncultured bacterium. RNAcentral describes it as "partial 16S ribosomal RNA". It matches the Rfam family "Bacterial small subunit ribosomal RNA", at positions 28 to 507 of the family's 1533-position model. The record is from RNAcentral.
GACGAACGCUGGCGGCGUGCUUAACACAUGCAAGUCGAACGGAAAGGCCCUGUUUUUGUGUGCUCGUCUGGUGACGGACUGGUUAGCAACACGUUAGUAUCCCCUCCUUGACUGUGGGAUUUCUUCAUGCAAGUGCUUCUACUACCGGCUAGGAGCUCCUGCUUCUUGGUGGGUGUUAGUUAGCUUCGGCGGUUGGGGAUGGACUCGCGGCUCAUCAGCUUGUUGGUGGGGUAGUGGCUUACCAAGGCUAUGACGGGUAGCCGGCCUGAGAGGGUGACCGGCCACAUUGGGACUGAGAUACGGCCCAGACUCCUACGGGAGGCAGCAGUGGGGAAUAUUGCACAAUGGGCGGAAGCCUGAUGCAGCAACGCAGCGUGCGGGAUGACGGCCUUCGGGUUGUAAACCGCUUUCGCCUGUGACGAAGCGUGAGUGACGGUAAUGGGUAAAGAAGCACCGGCUAACUACGUG